CGGAUGUGUCACCUGAGGUGGAUGUGAGUAGCAUUGCCACCACCCGGGUGUACCCUCCCCACAGCCGCCUCUCCACACUAAGCUCACUUGAUUCGACUUUUGGCUUCUCAGUCACCAACGAUGUAGUGAUGUCAUCUGGUGUCACCCAUCUGUUCUCCUCUGUCAUCCCCAGCACCCAUUUUGACUCAUCUUUCUCCUUGACUGGAAAUCAAAACACUCCAUCCCUUCCAGCCGGAAACCCAAGCCUUCUCACCUCUUACAGUCUGCUCCCCUCAGCACAGUCUAAAGUUUUCUCUGACGGAACACCUCCCAGCUCUCUGGAACUCGAAUCUGGAUUGGAUUUCACAUCCAGCUUUUAUUCAACCCCACCCCUGGACUUCAGCACUCCAGCCCCUUCACUGUCAGAGGUGCUUGCUUUCCCAUCUUUGAUGUCAAGCGAUCCAUCAGCCUUCUUUUCUCAACCUUUCUCCACUGUGGCUGAGACAUUUUCACUGUCCAACUCUAUGGAUUUGCAAUCACCUCAGCUU
This 527-nucleotide long non-coding RNA is filed under the name Rattus norvegicus (Norway rat). Its description in RNAcentral is "long non-coding RNA NONRATT021339". The record is from RNAcentral. Lineage: Eukaryota; Metazoa; Chordata; Mammalia; Rodentia; Muridae.